This 491-nucleotide ribosomal RNA is filed under the name uncultured bacterium. Its description in RNAcentral is "partial 16S ribosomal RNA". It matches the Rfam family "Bacterial small subunit ribosomal RNA", at positions 29 to 506 of the family's 1533-position model. The record is from RNAcentral.
AGUGAACGCUGGCGGUAGGCCUAACACAUGCCAGUCGAACGGCAGCACAGUAAGAGCUUGCUCUUACGGGUGGCGAGUGGCGGACGGGUGAGGAAUACAUCGGAAUCUACUUUUUCGUGGGGGAUAACGUAGGGAAACUUACGCUAAUACCGCAUACGACCUACGGGUGAAAGCAGGGGAUCUUCGGACCUUGCGCGAUUGAAUGAGCCGAUGUCGGAUUAGCUAGUUGGCGGGGUAAAGGCCCACCAAGGCGACGAUCCGUAGCUGGCCUGAGAGGAUGAUCAGCCACACUGGAACUGAGACACGGUCCAGACUCCUACGGGAGGCAGCAGUGGGGAAUAUUGGACAAUGGGCGCAAGCCUGAUCCAGCCAUACCGCGUGGGUGAAGAAGGCCUUCGGGUUGUAAAGCCCUUUUGUUGGGAAAGAAAAGCAGCAGGUUAAUACCCCGCUGUUCUGACGGUACCCAAAGAAUAAGCACCGGCUAACUUCGU